CAUGCAUCAAAUAUUUAAGCCAUUAUAGCCUUAAAAGCCUUGGGGGUAAAGCUCAGUGUAAGCUGUGCAGUAUAUUUAAUUGGCCAUAGUGGGCUUUAUACAGGCACUUAUAGAACUGAAUUUGUGUGUGUGUGUGUGUGUGUGUGUGUGUAUAGAAAUACUACACUGUAAUGUUUUGUGGAAAAUGUUGAAUCUAAACUCCUCGUGUUGUUUUUGAUGGAAACACUCAUGCAUAUAUUUAUAUGUACUACAUUCUCUCAUGAAGUAGUUAUCUAGCACAGUUAAAGGACAAUCAUCAACCCCAGCAGGAAGUUUAGAGAGGAUGAAUUUCCUGUAUGUGUUCCUGUAGUGACUUACAGCUCAGAGCACUGAGAGCCUCAACAGAGAACUGAACUGAUCUGAUUGAACAUGGACAGAUGCUUCAUACUGAUCCUCAUCGUGGGAACAGGUUUGGUGGCUGGAGACAGCAUUGAUCCAGAUAAAGGAACAGACAAAAACACUGAAGAAAGAGAAACUGUCAAGCUGACUUGCUCUUAUACUACAAGUAGUGAAUAUAUUUUGCUUUACUGGUACAGACAGUAUCCCAACAGAGAACCCGAGUAUUUAUUACUCAAAAAUGCACGGUCGGCAGGUUAUUACGAACGCACCUCUGAUAAUCGAUUUCAGCUGACUGCAGCACGUACAUCCACUGAACUCACUAUCACUGAUGUACGUCUGUCAGAUUCAGCUCUCUAUUAUUGUGCUCUAAGAGUAGUAGCCCAGUGAUACAAAACAUGAGACAUGUCAUACAAAAACCUGAAGAUCUUUUCACUUUGAAAAUUCUAGUGAAAAACCACAAUCAAAACCACAAUCUAUCCAGCACUGAAUGUAAUAAAAUAUGUGGUCACAGCUGUGAGAGGCUGAAGCAGGCCUGUUAAAAAAAUUCCAAGAAGUAUUGACAAUAUGUUAAGAUAUCACAGCCUAUGUGGUUCCUUUUAUGCACAAAUACAUUCUUAAUAGAAUGUCUUAAUUGCUUGUCAUGAAGUAAAAAAAAAAUGGAGCAAUUAGAGGGCGGCUGGUUUGUUUAAUGGGUGCUGAGUGUGUACCCUGAGUGUGUAAUGUGUUUAUAUUAAAUGUAAAAUUUUCAAAUGAAAAGGGCAACAUGAUCAUUUUAUAAAGUAGGCCUAUGCGAUCAUAUGGAACGACAUGUGGGUAAGUGAUUAAUGACAACAUUUUCAUUUUGGGGUGGUCUAUCCCUUUAGCUCAUAUGAUCGCAUAGGCCUACUUUAUAAAAAAGGCCUACUUUAUACUAUAUAAAAUGAUCAUGUUGCCCUUUUCAUUUGAAAAUUUUACAUUUAAUAUUAACACAUUACAGUGUAUUAUUUAAUAUAUACAUAUUACAACUUUGAAAAUGGAUUAUCUUAACCGGUUGUUCAUUGAUAACAUAAAAUAAAAUAAUAAUACACAUGCUAUUAAAGGGUUAAUUAUGCACAUCCAGCUCAGUCAAUAUCAGCUUUGUCUUUAACUUUAUUUCCAUGCAACCUUCAAAAACUCUUAAUGCUGCAAAUGCAUUUAUGUGACAUGAAACGCAUUCUCAGGUAAGCAAAGGUGCUUUCUCUUUAUCACUUAUACAUGAAAAUAGAUUUUACAUUUCAAAGAAAAAAAAUAAAUUACCUUGAAUGUUCAACUCAAAAUUCUGUGGUUGAACUUCAAACACGUGAAAUGGAGUCAUGUGUUUCAACUCAGAUUUUUUCACCAAGGCUGUACUAUGAUUUAUUAUUUAAAAAUAACACUAUUGUAUGGGUAAGAUAUCAUAUUGGGGAAGAAAAAAUAUAAU
Molecule: long non-coding RNA, 1816 nt
Organism: Carassius auratus (goldfish)
Lineage: Eukaryota; Metazoa; Chordata; Actinopteri; Cypriniformes; Cyprinidae
Source: Ensembl